CCUACGGGCGGCAGCAGUGAGGAAUAUUGGUCAAUGGACGAGAGUCAGAACCAGCCAAGUAGCGUGAAGGAUGACUGCCCUAUGGGUUGUAAACUUCUUUUAUAAAGGAAUAAAACGAGGCACGUGUGCCUUUUUGCAUGUACUUUAUGAAUAAGGAUCGGCUAACUCCGUGCCAGCAGCCGCGGUAAUACGGAGGAUCCGAGCGUUAUCCGGAUUUAUUGGGUUUAAAGGGAGCGUAGAUGGGUUGUUAAGUCAGUUGUGAAAGUUUGCGGCUCAACCGUAAAAUUGCAAUUGAUACUGGCAGUCUUGAGUACAGUUGAGGUAGGCGGAAUUCGUGGGGUAGCGGUGAAAUGCUUAGAUAUCACGAAGAACCCCGAUUGCGAAGGCAGCUUACUAAACUGUGACUGACAUUGAUGCUCGAAAGUGUGGGUAGCAAACAGGAUUAGAUACCCUUGUAGUC
Molecule: ribosomal RNA, 460 nt
Filed under: uncultured bacterium
Lineage: Bacteria
Description: partial 16S ribosomal RNA
Rfam family: Bacterial small subunit ribosomal RNA
Source: RNAcentral